UGUGUGUUGUGUAUUGUGUGAAUGUAUGUGUGCGAGUUCAUUGGUUAAUAUCGUGUCGCUAGUCGCUACUUGCCACUUGCCACGCGUUUCUGUUGCUGUGUGGCAUUUCGCGUUUCAUUAACAUUUUUAGAUUAAACAUAUAAACGUUGACAACGAAACAGGAAACGUAAUUUUUUAAAUCGUUGUAAUAUUCUUAUAACCUAAAAUUUUUGAAAGUAUGUCUGUGCAAAUGUGAACAUCAGGACACAGGAAUCGUGCGACUGAGUUGUGGUCACAAUUACUCUGAAUCAUGUCGCAAUACGAAGACGUCAUUCUAGAGGCCAAAGAAAAAGAAGAAUGUAUGUCAGCAGAAUUAGGAGGAAUACGACAUCGUAUUCCAUGGAGCGAACGAGUAUUAUUAAAUAGUGAAAUACCUGGUUUCCAUGAAGUUAAAGAAUUAUUAGAUGAUGAUGAUGCAAGUUGUUUGGCAGAAGAGGAAGAUGGAGUCGGAUGUCCUUUGCCUUCAACUCCGGAAGAUGAUCAUCUCCUGGAUUGUGAGAUGACCGAAGUUCUGAAAGCAGGUGUAUUGAGCGAUGAAAUUGAUCUAGGUGCAUUAGCCCAUAAUGCAGCAGAGCAGGCGGAAGAAUUUGUUCGAAAGGUAUGGGAGGCAUCAUGGAAACAAUGCCAUUUUCGGAACUUGCCGAGAUGGUUGCAAGAUAACGAUUUUUUACAUGCUGGCCAUAGACCGCCACUACCCUCGUUUUAUGCAUGUUUUAAAAGUAUUUUUCGAAUUCAUACAGAAACUGGCAACAUCUGGACACAUUUGUUGGGCUGUGUUGCCUUUAUUGGUAUAGCUAUAUUUUUUCUAACACAACCUCCUAUAGAAAUUCAAUUGGAAGAAAAAUUGGUAUUUGGUACCUUUUUUGCUGGUGCUAUAAUGUGCCUAGGAAUGUCAUUUGCCUUUCACACAGUUCAUUGCCACAGUGAAUGUGUUGGAAAGCUAUUUUCAAAGUUAGAUUAUUGUGGCAUAGCAAUGCUUAUUAUGGGUAGUUUUGUACCAUGGCUUUAUUAUGGAUUUUAUUGCGACUAUCAACCUAAACUAAUUUACUUAUCUGUGGUGGUUGUCCUUGGUAUAACUAGCAUUGUAGUAUCAUUGUGGGAGCGGUUUGGUGAACCAAGCUAUCGUCCACUCAGAGCUGGAGUUUUUAUGGGAUUUGGACUUAGCGGGGUAAUACCAGCAGUACAUUAUGCUAUCGCCGAAGGUUGGUUCAAGGCGAUUAGCCAAGCAUCUCUUGGCUGGUUAAUACUGAUGGGAUGUUUGUAUAUACUAGGUGCAUUGUUUUAUGCUUUAAGGGUACCUGAACGUUUUUUCCCAGGGAAAUUUGAUAUUUGGUUUCAGAGUCAUCAAAUCUUCCAUGUAUUAGUAAUUGCAGCUGCUUUUGUACAUUAUCAUGGUAUUACAGAAAUGGCAAUGCAUAGAAUGACAAUAGGCGACUGUACAAAUCCGUCGCAGGUAUAUGCUUUUUAAAUCUGCGGGCACAUACUUCAUCUUGUUGAUAACUUUCAUGUCAUUAAUAUAUAUAAAGACUACAAAGAAUUUCCUAAAUCUUAUGCCAGUCGAUCUGUGCUGUUGAAAAAUAUGUUAUGUAAUUAACCAAAAAUUAAUGACUACAAAACUUUACAUAUAAAAGAAAUUUCAAUACGAAUGGAAUCUUAUUGAAAUUUCAAUGAAAUCAUAUUGAAAUAUGGUACUUGAACUGAAAUUCUCGACUUUCCUUGGAAAUGACAAAAGUUUACAUAUCAUUUUAAAAGAUACAAAUAUAAUCUAUCAAAUUCGAAUAGUAUAAAUGGAAUUCUAAAGAAAGUAUAUAAACUUAAAUAAGCAUAUGUAUUACUUAUUCUUAAAUUUUUUUUUCGAGAUAUAUGAAUUAUAUGUAAA
Molecule: RNA transcript, 1918 nt
Organism: Cataglyphis hispanica
Lineage: Eukaryota; Metazoa; Arthropoda; Insecta; Hymenoptera; Formicidae
Gene: AdipoR
Gene name: adiponectin receptor protein
Exons: 8
Source: RefSeq, a predicted model, not a curated record